AUGGCGCAGCUGAUAUCAUCGCGUGCAGGACGAAGCCUCGGUUGUAAACUGCUUUUGUACGGAACGAAAAGCCUAGGCUAAUACCCCUGGGUCAUGACGGUACCGUAAGAAUAAGCACCGGCUAACUACGUGCCAGCAGCCGCGGUAAUACGUAGGGUGCAAGCGUUAAUCGGAAUUACUGGGCGUAAAGCGUGCGCAGGCGGUCUUGUAAGACAGAGGUGAAAUCCCCGGGCUUAACCUGGGAACUGCCUUUGUGACUGCAAGGCUGGAGUGCGGCAGAGGGGGAUGGAAUUCCGCGUGUAGCAGUGAAAUGCGUAGAUAUGCGGAGGAACACCGAUGGCGAAGGCAAUCCCCUGGGCCUGCACUGACGCUCAUGCACGAAAGCGUGGGGAGCAAACAGGAUUAGAUACCCUGGUAGUCCACGCCCUAAACGAUGUCAACUGGUUGUUGGGUCUUCACUGACUCAGUAACGAAGCUAACGCGUGAAGUUGACCGNCUGGGGAAGUAUGGCCGCAAA
Molecule: ribosomal RNA, 517 nt
Filed under: uncultured bacterium
Lineage: Bacteria
Description: bacterial SSU rRNA
Rfam family: Bacterial small subunit ribosomal RNA
Source: RNAcentral